This 476-nucleotide ribosomal RNA is filed under the name uncultured organism. RNAcentral describes it as "partial 16S ribosomal RNA". It matches the Rfam family "Bacterial small subunit ribosomal RNA", at positions 329 to 797 of the family's 1533-position model. The record is from RNAcentral.
ACGUACACUCCUAUGGGAGGCAGCAGUGGGGAAUAUUGCACAAUGGGCGCAAGCCUGAUGCAGCCAUGCCGCGUGUAUGAAGAAGGCCUUCGGGUUGUAAAGUACUUUCAGCGGGGAGGAAGGCGAUAAGGUUAAUAACCUUGUCGAUUGACGUUACCCGCAGAAGAAGCACCGGCUAACUCCGUGCCAGCAGCCGCGGUAAUACGGAGGGUGCAAGCGUUAAUCGGAAUUACUGGGCGUAAAGCGCACGCAGGCGGUCUGUCAAGUCGGAUGUGAAAUCCCCGGGCUCAACCUGGGAACUGCAUUCGAAACUGGCAGGCUAGAGUCUUGUAGAGGGGGGUAGAAUUCCAGGUGUAGCGGUGAAAUGCGUAGAGAUCUGGAGGAAUACCGGUGGCGAAGGCGGCCCCCUGGACAAAGACUGACGCUCAGGUGCGAAAGCGUGGGGAGCAAACAGGAUUAGAUACCCUUGUAGUCCC